RNAcentral lists this ribosomal RNA (481 nucleotides) under uncultured bacterium. RNAcentral's name for it is "partial 16S ribosomal RNA". It matches the Rfam family "Bacterial small subunit ribosomal RNA", at positions 28 to 507 of the family's 1533-position model. The record is from RNAcentral.
GAUGAACGCUGGCGGCGUGCUUAACACAUGCAAGUCGAACGAAGCAUUUGCGACAGAUUUUUUCGGAAUGAAGUUGCUUAUGACUGAGUGGCGGACGGGUGAGUAACGCGUGGGUAACCUGCCUUGUACUGGGGGAUAGCAGCUGGAAACGGCUGGUAAUACCGCAUAAGCGCACAAUGUUGCAUGACAUGGUGUGAAAAACUCCGGUGGUAUAAGAUGGACCCGCGUCUGAUUAGCUAGUUGGUGAGAUAUCAGCCCACCAAGGCGACGAUCAGUAGCCGACCUGAGAGGGUGACCGGCCACAUUGGGACUGAGACACGGCCCAGACUCCUACGGGAGGCAGCAGUGGGGAAUAUUGCACAAUGGAGGAAACUCUGAUGCAGCGACGCCGCGUGAGUGAAGAAGUAAUUCGUUAUGUAAAGCUCUAUCAGCAGGGAAGAUAGUGACGGUACCUGACUAAGAAGCUCCGGCUAAAUACGUG